AUUAUUCUUGAAUGGUUUAUUUUUUCAAUUUUUCAUUCAUUGAUUAAUUGAUUGUUGAUUAGCUCUUACUGCUGUUUGUGAUUAUUAAUUGUAAAUAUGCUGCUGUGCUGCUGUUCUUUGUGCUUUUGUGACUUAAUUGUGAUUAUAUUGUGAUGUUUGUGAUUAUUUCAUCCUAUAUUAUUGUUAGUUAAUUGGUUUUAAUUUUGUUCCUGGGGUUUGAGUUUCUUCUCUAAACUCCCCGGUUGCCUUUGCUCCCUCUGUCUUGGUCCAGAGAUUCCGUCUCCACAGAACACUAGGUUGAGUUGAAUUGAAGUGAAUCAUGGAUAAGAGCAUGUUAACUGGUUUGGAAUCACUUCC
Molecule: non-coding RNA, 357 nt
Organism: Arachis ipaensis
Lineage: Eukaryota; Viridiplantae; Streptophyta; Magnoliopsida; Fabales; Fabaceae
Source: RefSeq, a predicted model, not a curated record